ACGCCGUACUCUGGAGAGCGGCACCCGCCACUGAUCGAUUCCGUCGACAGCCUUGGUGAGCGUGCCCACCGAAGGGGCGCGCAAGGCUUGGGUUUCCGGUAAAUGGAAUCCGCCUUGUAAUCUCUCAGGUAUCGAGGACAGAGGGGUCAUC
This 151-nucleotide non-coding RNA is filed under the name Cupriavidus basilensis. Its description in RNAcentral is "Glycine sequence". It matches the Rfam family "Glycine riboswitch aptamer". Rfam says of the family: This family represents the bacterial glycine riboswitch. Glycine riboswitches usually consist of two metabolite-binding aptamers domains with similar structures in tandem. The aptamers cooperatively bind glycine to regulate the expression of downstream genes. The record is from Rfam by way of RNAcentral. Lineage: Bacteria; Pseudomonadati; Pseudomonadota; Betaproteobacteria; Burkholderiales; Burkholderiaceae.